RNAcentral lists this small RNA (444 nucleotides) under Vigna angularis var. angularis. RNAcentral's name for it is "Non-protein coding transcript". Lineage: Eukaryota; Viridiplantae; Streptophyta; Magnoliopsida; Fabales; Fabaceae. The record is from RNAcentral.
AAAAUCUCUCUCUUUCUUCCUAGAAAGUUGCUUCCCAUUCUCUCCACCUUCUCUCUAUCAUUCCUUCACAUUCAGUCAUUGCAUGUUUGAUUAGGUGGUGCUCAAGUGACCGCGACGCAGAGAGCUUCGCAACCAUCCGAUUAGAUUCUCGUUCUUCAACGGGGUUUGGUUGAGUUCUUGCGAAGUCAAGCACUGUCGAACCAAGUUGUGAGCUUAGCUGUGAAACCCUAAGAUGUGAGCAGAUGUUGAGGAGAUGUCCCUGGAGUAAGUGCUGGAGGACGGGGAUGCUGCAGCUUAGUACUUCUAGGGUCUUAAUUAAGUGGUAUUAUUUUAGUAGUCCUUUAUGUUUAAGUUUUCAAAUUCUGGUGAUAUUUUGGAUGAUGUAACCUUAACUAAACUAUCAGUCUUACUCCAACUGUUCUAUUAUAUUAAGAUGAUGACGUC